Molecule: ribosomal RNA, 262 nt
Filed under: uncultured bacterium
Lineage: Bacteria
Description: partial 16S ribosomal RNA
Rfam family: Bacterial small subunit ribosomal RNA
Source: RNAcentral
GUCCACGCCGUAAACGUUGGGAACUAGGUGUGGGUCUCAUUCCACGAGAUCCGUGCCGCAGCUAACGCAUUAAGUUCCCCGCCUGGGGAGUACGGCCGCAAGGCUAAAACUCAAAGGAAUUGACGGGGGCCCGCACAAGCGGCGGAGCAUGUGGAUUAAUUCGAUGCAACGCGAAGAACCUUACCAAGGCUUGACAUACACCGGAAACAUCCAGAGAUGGGUGCCCCGCAAGGUCGGUGUACAGGUGGUGCAUGGUUGUCGU